CAUCUCCUCCUAAUGUUGAACUGUCAUCUCCUCCUAAUGUUGAACUGUCAUCUCCUCCUAAUGUUGAACUGUCAUCUCCUAAUGUUGUACUGUCAUCUCCUAAUGUUGUACUGUCAUCUCCUCCUAAUGUUGAACUGUCAUCUCCUCCUAAUGUUGAACUGUCAUCUCCUUCUAAUGUUGAACUGUCAUCUCCUCCUAAUGUUGUACUGUCAUCUCCUCCUAAUGUUGAACUGUCAUCUCCUCCUAAUGUUGAACUGUCAUCUCCUCCUAAUAUUUAACUGUCAUCUCCUCUCCUACUGUUGUAGUGUAACAUGUUGUUGUCGUAGUUACCUCCUAAAGUUGUAGUGUAACUUGUUGUUGUCAUAGUUACCUUCUAAUGUUGUGGUGUAACAUGUUGUUGUCAUAGUUACCUCCUAAAGUUGUAGUGUAACUUGUUGUUGUCAUAGUUACCUUCUAAUGUUGUAGUGUAGCAUGUUGUUGUCAUAGUUACCUCCUAAAGUUGUAGUGUAGCAUGUUGUUGUCGUGGUUACCUCCUAAUGUUGUCGUGUAGCGUGUUGUUGUCGUGGUUACCUCCUAAUGUUGUAGUGUAACAUAAUGCUGACUUGCCUAGUUUAAAAUAAAUAAUGAUGUCAUCAUGUCACACAAGAAGCAGAGGGUACCCCCUGAUGGACCAGACAUCAAAUAGCACCUACAGCAAUCUGAGCUGGUCUGAGUUGAUCUAAUAUUUGCCCUGACAGAGUGACUGACAUACGUGUUGUAGAGGACAGGACAGGUUAGUGAUGUGUUGUAGAGGACAGGUUAGUGAUGUGUUGUAGAGGACAGGACAGGUUAGUGAUGUGUUGUAGAGGACAGGUUAGUGACGUGUUGUAGAGGACAGGUUAGUGACGUGUUGUAGAGGACAGGUUAGUGACGUGUUGUAGAGGACAGGUUAGUGAUGUGUUGUAGAGGACAGGUUAGUGAUGUGUUGUAGAGGACAGGUUAGUGAUGUGUUGUAGAGGACAGGUUAGUGAUGUGUUGUAGAGGACAGGUUAGUGAUGUGUUGUAGAGGACAGGUUAGUGAUGUGUUGUAGAGGACAGGUUAGUGAUGUGUUGUAGAGGACAGGUUAGUGAUGUGUUGUAGAGGACAGGUUAGUGACGUGUUGUAGAGGACAGGACAGGUUAGUGAUGUGUUGUAGAGGACAGGUUAGUGAUGUGUUGUAGAGGACAGGUUAGUGAUGUGUUGUAGAGGACAGGUUAGUGAUGUGUUGUAGAGGACAGGUUAGUGAUGUGUUGUAGAGGACAGGUUAGUGAUGUGUUGUAGAGGACAGGUUAGUGAUGUGUUGUAGAGGACAGGUUAGUGACGUGUUGUAGAGGACAGGUUAGUGAUGUGUUGUAGAGGACAGGUUAGUGACGUGUUGUAGAGGACAGGACAGGUUAGUGAUGUGUUGUAGAGGACAGGACAGGUUAGUGAUGUGUUGUAGAGGACAGGACAGGUUAGUGAUGUGUUGUAGAGGUACAGAGGACAGGACAGAUAAUACAGGACUUUAUGGACAUACCAUCUGUAUGUAUUAACACAAAAAAACGUAGCAUUUCACCUGAAGUGUAGGUCAUCAGAUCUCUGGCUAGGAGUCAGAGCUGAUGGUAGACUUAAAGACAUUACAUGCAUUGAGCACACACACACACACACACGCACGUACGCACGCACGCACGCACACGCACACACACACACAGAGAGAGAGAGUCACACUGGGGGCCUUGAAAUAUGACUCAGCAGAAACCUCUCUCUCUCUCUC
Molecule: long non-coding RNA, 1772 nt
Organism: Oncorhynchus keta (chum salmon)
Lineage: Eukaryota; Metazoa; Chordata; Actinopteri; Salmoniformes; Salmonidae
Exons: 4
Source: RefSeq, a predicted model, not a curated record